ACGCCGCGUGAGGGAUGACGGCCUUCGGGUUGUAAACCUCUUUCAGWAGGGACGAAGCGCAAGUGACGGUACCUGCAGAAGAAGCACCGGCCAACUACGUGCCAGCAGCCGCGGUAAUACGUAGGGUGCGAGCGUUGUCCGGAAUUAUUGGGCGUAAAGGGCUCGUAGGCGGUUUGUCGCGUCGGGAGUGAAAACACCGGGCUUAACACGGCGCUUGCUUUCGAUACGGGCAGACUAGAGGUAUUCAGGGGAGAACGGAAUUCCUGGUGUAGCGGUGAAAUGCGCAGAUAUCAGGAGGAACACCGGUGGCGAAGGCGGUUCUCUGGGAAUGACCUGACGCUGAGGAGCGAAAGUGUGGGGAGCGAACAGGAUUAGAUACCCUGGUAGUCCACACCGUAAACGUUGGGCGCUAGGUGUGGGGUCCAUUCCACGGAUUCCGUGCCGCAGCUAACGCAUUAAGCGCCCCGCCUGGGGAGUACGGCCGCAAGGCUAAAACUCAAA
RNAcentral lists this ribosomal RNA (501 nucleotides) under Nocardioides marinisabuli. RNAcentral describes it as "bacterial SSU rRNA". Lineage: Bacteria; Bacillati; Actinomycetota; Actinomycetes; Propionibacteriales; Nocardioidaceae. The record is from RNAcentral.